AACUGAAGAGUUUGAUCAUGGCUCAGAUUGAACGCUGGCGGCAGGCUUAACACAUGCAAGUCGAGCGGAGAGAGGUAGCUUGCUACUGAUCUUAGCGGCGGACGGGUGAGUAAUGCUUAGGAAUCUGCCUAUUAGUGGGGGACAACAUUUCGAAAGGAAUGCUAAUACCGCAUACGUCCUACGGGAGAAAGCAGGGGAUCUUCGGACCUUGCGCUAAUAGAUGAGCCUAAGUCGGAUUAGCUAGUUGGUGGGGUAAAGGCCUACCAAGGCGACGAUCUGUAGCGGGUCUGAGAGGAUGAUCCGCCACACUGGGACUGAGACACGGCCCAGACUCCUACGGGAGGCAGCAGUGGGGAAUAUUGGACAAUGGGCGCAAGCCUGAUCCAGCCAUGCCGCGUGUGUGAAGAAGGCCUUAUGGUUGUAAAGCACUUUAAGCGAGGAGGAGGCUACUUUAGAUAAUACCUAGAGAUAGUGGACGUUACUCGCAGAAUAAGCACCGGCUAACUCUGUGCCAGCAGCCGCGGUAAUACAGAGGGUGCAAGCGUUAAUCGGAUUUACUGGGCGUAAAGCGCGCGUAGGCG
RNAcentral lists this ribosomal RNA (581 nucleotides) under Acinetobacter pittii. RNAcentral describes it as "bacterial SSU rRNA". It matches the Rfam family "Bacterial small subunit ribosomal RNA", at positions 1 to 577 of the family's 1533-position model. The record is from RNAcentral. Lineage: Bacteria; Pseudomonadati; Pseudomonadota; Gammaproteobacteria; Moraxellales; Moraxellaceae.